GGUAGUGGUUGCUGAAUGGUUAGGGCUCUGGGUUACUGAUCAGAUGGUCAGGGGUUCAAGCCCCAGCACUACCA
Non-coding RNA from Pangasius djambal, 74 nucleotides. The record is from the annotation of a GenBank genome assembly. Lineage: Eukaryota; Metazoa; Chordata; Actinopteri; Siluriformes; Pangasiidae.